AUUGAACGCUGGCGGCAUGCCUUACACAUGCAAGUCGAACGGCAGCACGGGAGCAAUCCUGGUGGCGAGUGGCGAACGGGUGAGUAAUAUAUCGGAACGUGCCCAGUAGUGGGGGAUAGCCCGGCGAAAGCCGGAUUAAUACCGCAUGAGACCUGAGGGUGAAAGCGGGGGAUCGCAAGACCUCGCGCUAUUGGAGCGGCCGAUAUCAGAUUAGCUAGUUGGUGGGGUAAAGGCCUACCAAGGCAACGAUCUGUAGUUGGUCUGAGAGGACGACCAGCCACACUGGGACUGAGACACGGCCCAGACUCCUACGGGAGGCAGCAGUGGGGAAUUUUGGACAAUGGGCGCAAGCCUGAUCCAGCAAUGCCGCGUGCAGGAAGAA
This 382-nucleotide ribosomal RNA is filed under the name uncultured bacterium. Its description in RNAcentral is "bacterial SSU rRNA". It matches the Rfam family "Bacterial small subunit ribosomal RNA", at positions 29 to 412 of the family's 1533-position model. The record is from RNAcentral.